RNAcentral lists this long non-coding RNA (457 nucleotides) under Homo sapiens (human). RNAcentral describes it as "IPO9 antisense RNA 1". Lineage: Eukaryota; Metazoa; Chordata; Mammalia; Primates; Hominidae. The record is from RNAcentral.
CGCCGCCAUCUUUUCUCCCCUCAGCCCGCCAGCCCCGCGGCCGGGACCCGCCACCGAAUGACGGCCCCCGCGCGCGGCCAAUCCGCGAAGCCGCGCCUGCGCACCAGAGGCGGGCGGGAGCGGGCGGAGGGCGGGGAAUGAAUCUAAGCCUCCAGAGACAGCGCCUCCUGCUGCCUGAACGAGAACUGCACCUUUCUCUGCAAGGAUCUCUGGAUUUGUGUGAAAACUGAGCCCCAGACAGGUUAAGGGGCUUUCCUAAAGUUGCACAAAUGGCUUCUACUCACCAGAGGAUCUGAGUCCAGAGAACUUGGGGUGCUGUCUUUGACUGUCCUAUCCUCGGGAGGCGCAGUGGCUCAUGCCUGUAAUCCCAGCAUUUAGGGAGGCCAAGACAGGAAGAUCACUUGAGGUCAGAAGUUCAAGACCAGCCUGGCCAACGUGGUGAAACCCUGUUUCUACU